This 478-nucleotide long non-coding RNA is filed under the name Homo sapiens (human). Its description in RNAcentral is "non-protein coding LINC01837:28". The record is from RNAcentral. Lineage: Eukaryota; Metazoa; Chordata; Mammalia; Primates; Hominidae.
GAUUAACAGGGGAAGAAUUAGGAAAGAGGACACGCAAGACCACAGUAAGAGAUGGAAAUAAGAGAAUAUUCCUGAUUUCCACUGGAUGACUUUGACUGGUAUGAUUUCAUUCUCUGAAAGUGUUAACCAGGGUGCAGCAUGGCCAGAAACCAUUCCGAGCCUCAUGAAGUGGGCAAGUCAGGUUUGGUCAUUUUUGUUCUACUGGCUUUGAAGAAGCAAGCUGCUAUGAUGUAAACUGACUAUGGAGAAGGCCACGUGACAGGGAAUUGGGUGUAGACUCUAGGAACUGAGGUCUUAAUCCUACAACUGCAAGGGGAUUAAAGUCUACCAACAACCACCUGGGCUUGGAAGAGGACCGCUGAUCUCCAGAUGAGAACGGAGCCUGACCAACACCUUGAGUGCCACCUUGUGAGACUCUGAGCAAAGACCCAGCUAAGCCACACUUAGACUCUUGACGUACAGAAAAUGUGAGAUAAGG